RNAcentral lists this ribosomal RNA (477 nucleotides) under uncultured bacterium. Its description in RNAcentral is "partial 16S ribosomal RNA". It matches the Rfam family "Bacterial small subunit ribosomal RNA", at positions 28 to 523 of the family's 1533-position model. The record is from RNAcentral.
GACGAACGCUGGCGGCGUGCUUAACACAUGCAAGUCGAACGGUAAGGCCCUUCGGGGUACACGAGUGGCGAACGGGUGAGUACACGUGGGUGAUCUGCCCUGCACUUCGGGAUAAGCCUGGGAAACUGGGUCUAACACCGGAUAGGACCACUGCCUGCAUGGGUGGUGGUGGAAAGCUUUUGCGGUGUGGGAUGGGCCCGCGGCCUAUCAGCUUGUUGGUGGGGUGAUGGCCUACCAAGGCGACGACGGGUAGCCGGCCUGAGAGGGUGACCGGCCACACUGGGACUGAGAUACGGCCCAGACUCCUACGGGAGGCAGCAGUGGGGAAUAUUGCACAAUGGGCGCAAGCCUGAUGCAGCGACGCCGCGUGAGGGAUGACGGCCUUCGGGUUGUAAACCUCUUUCAGCACCGACGAAGCGCAAGUGACGGUAGGUGCAGAAGAAGGACCGGCCAACUACGUGCCAGCAGCCGCCGCAG